Molecule: non-coding RNA, 140 nt
Organism: Trichonephila inaurata madagascariensis
Lineage: Eukaryota; Metazoa; Arthropoda; Arachnida; Araneae; Nephilidae
Source: the annotation of a GenBank genome assembly
GCCAUGGUAGCCUAGUGGUCAAGGUAAUGAACUUGUGGCCGGCGUGUCAUGAGUUCCAGCUUAAUGCCGCUGAAGACCAGCAGUGUAGAGGGAAUGAUGAGCGUUAAAUCUGGCGAGGCUCAAACGUCCUCCCAUUGGCG